GACGAACGCUGGCGGCGUGCCUAAUACAUGCAAGUAGAACGCUGAAGGAGAAGCUUGCUUCUCCGGAUGAGUUGCGAACGGGUGAGUAACGCGUAGGUAACCUGCCUGGUAGCGGGGGAUAACUAUUGGAAACGAUAGCUAAUACCGCAUAAGAGUAGAUGUUGCAUGACAUUUGCUUAAAAGGUGCAAUUGCAUCACUACCAGAUGGACCUGCUUUGUAUUAGCUAGUUGGUGAGGUAACGGCUCACCAAGGCAACGAUACAUAGCCGACCUGAGAGGGUGAUCGGCCACACUGGGACUGAGACACGGCCCAGACUCCUACGGGAGGCAGCAGUAGGGAAUCUUCGGCAAUGGACGGAAGUCUGACCGAGCAACGCCGCGUGAGUGAAGAAGGUUUUCGGAUCGUAAAGCUCUGUUGUAAGAGAAGAACGAGUGUGAGAGUGGAAAGUUC
RNAcentral lists this ribosomal RNA (451 nucleotides) under Streptococcus mitis. RNAcentral describes it as "bacterial SSU rRNA". It matches the Rfam family "Bacterial small subunit ribosomal RNA", at positions 28 to 465 of the family's 1533-position model. Lineage: Bacteria; Bacillati; Bacillota; Bacilli; Lactobacillales; Streptococcaceae. The record is from RNAcentral.